Molecule: transfer RNA, 67 nt
Filed under: Pelvicachromis pulcher (rainbow krib)
Lineage: Eukaryota; Metazoa; Chordata; Actinopteri; Cichliformes; Cichlidae
Description: tRNA-Cys
Source: RNAcentral
AGCCCUGAGGUGUCGUACAUAUCGGGUUGCAAACCCGAAGAAGCAGACUAACCCCCUGCCGGGGCUU